RNAcentral lists this ribosomal RNA (562 nucleotides) under uncultured Pseudomonadota bacterium. RNAcentral's name for it is "bacterial SSU rRNA". It matches the Rfam family "Bacterial small subunit ribosomal RNA", at positions 35 to 643 of the family's 1533-position model. Lineage: Bacteria; Pseudomonadati; Pseudomonadota. The record is from RNAcentral.
GCUGGCGGCACGCCUAACACAUGCAAGUCGAACGAAGUAGCAAUACUUAGUGGCAGACGGGUGAGUAACAUGUAGGUAUCUACCCUUUUGCCUGGAAUAACACGAGGAAACUUGUGCUAAUACCGGAUAAGUCUUUACGGAGAAAGCUUUAUGCACCAUUGGAUGAGCCUGCACUUGAUUAGUUUGUUGGUGGGGUAAUGGCCUACCAAGACUGUGAUCAAUAGCUGAUUUGAGAGGAUGAUCAGCCACAUUGGGACUGAGACACGGCCCAAACUCCUACGGGAGGCAGCAGUGGGGAAUCUUGCACAAUGGAGGAAACUCUGAUGCAGCGAUGCCGCGUGAGUGAAGAAGGCCUUUGGGUUGUAAGCUCUUCCGUCGGGGAAGAAAAUGACUGUACCCGAAUAAGAAGGUCCGGCUAACUUCGUGCCAGCAGCCGCGGUAAUACGAAGGGACCUAGCGUAGUUCGGAAUUACUGGGCUUAAAGAGUUCGUAGGUGGUUGAAAAAGUUAGUGGUGAAAUCCCAGAGCUUAACUCUGGAACUGCCAUUAAAACUUUUCAGCUA